UACGAAGGGGGCUAGCGUUGUUCGGAAUUACUGGGCGUAAAGCGCGUGUAGGCGGGCCGUUAAGUUGGGGGUGAAAUCCCAGAGCUCAACCCUGGAAUUGCCUUCGAGACUGGAGGGCUGGAGUAUGAUAGAGGUGAGUGGAAUUGCGAGUGUAGAGGUGAAAUUCGUAGAGAUUCGCAGGAACACCAGUGGCGAAGGCGGCUCGCUGGACCAUUGCUGACGCUGAGGUGCGAAAGCGUGGGGAGCAAACAGG
Molecule: ribosomal RNA, 253 nt
Filed under: uncultured bacterium
Lineage: Bacteria
Description: partial 16S ribosomal RNA
Rfam family: Bacterial small subunit ribosomal RNA
Source: RNAcentral